GCCCGCCGCCGCGGUAAUACGGAGGGUGCAAGCGUUAAUCAUAAUUACUGGGCGUAAAGCGUGCGUAGGCGGUUUAUUAUGUCAGAUGUGAACGCCCCGGGCUUAACCUGGGAGCUGCAUUUGAAACUGGUCAGCUAGAGUAUGGGAGAGGAAAGUGGAAUUUCUGGUGUAGCGGUAGUACUGCGGUAAAUAUCAAAAAGAACAUCAUGUGGCGAACGCUGCUUUCUGGACCAAUACUGACGCUGAGGUACGAAAGCGUGGGUAGAAAACAUGAUGAGAUACCCUGGUACUCCACGCCGUAAACGAUGAUAACUA
This 315-nucleotide ribosomal RNA is filed under the name uncultured Oceanospirillaceae bacterium. RNAcentral describes it as "SSU rRNA". It matches the Rfam family "Bacterial small subunit ribosomal RNA", at positions 507 to 818 of the family's 1533-position model. Lineage: Bacteria; Pseudomonadati; Pseudomonadota; Gammaproteobacteria; Oceanospirillales; Oceanospirillaceae. The record is from RNAcentral.